Molecule: ribosomal RNA, 459 nt
Filed under: Triticum aestivum (bread wheat)
Lineage: Eukaryota; Viridiplantae; Streptophyta; Magnoliopsida; Poales; Poaceae
Description: partial small subunit ribosomal RNA
Source: RNAcentral
AUGUCUAAUGAUGAUGGGAUCCCGGAGUGCGGGUACUUCUAUGAUGACCGGGGUUUGUGCGAUAGGUUUCCUCAGCUACAAAAUGAUAGGUUUUUCACCGUGAAGCUGGAAGUGACCUUUGAUGUUUGUACGUACAUCCCGUGCCAAGCUAGACCAUAUGUAUUGGAGAAGAUUGAUUUUGGUUUAGAUGACUUUGAGAAUGUGGAGACGAGGAGGGCUCACUUAAGAACUAAACAUGGUUAUGAGUUUUUGGUUAAGCUGUACAAUGCGGUCGAUCACUCCCAUUUCGGUUGCUCUAAUUGGGAAGCUCUCUGCAAGGCAUAUGGAUUUGAGGAGGUAAUGCGAUUCGCCUCGAAGAUUAUGAUGAUGAUGAUAAUAUCGACAUCUCGGUGGAUGUGGAUAUGCCUCCAGUUUUGCCUAGAUCUUAUUUCUUAUCUUCAAGAAAUACUCGGAAGGUAA